This is a long non-coding RNA of Gopherus evgoodei (Goodes thornscrub tortoise), 571 nucleotides long. RefSeq lists it as uncharacterized. The record is from RefSeq and is a predicted model, not a curated record. NCBI's taxonomy places the organism in Eukaryota, Metazoa, Chordata, Testudines, Testudinidae. The transcript has 3 exons.
AACUGGACACAGUACUGCAGAAGAGGCCUCUCCAAUGCCGAAUAGAGGGGAAUGAUCACGUCCCUUGAUCUGCUGCCAAUGCUCCUACUUACACACUGAAAGCUCUUCGGAAGAGAAGAGCUGUGGCUCACGAUGUCUGUACUAUUCCCUGGCUAUCCCAGUUGGCACCUCUAGGUGCUACUGUCAUAGAGAAGCAACUGACCGUCACAUCACAACCACCAACUUAUCCAAAUCCCAGAGCAGCUGCGUCCACACAUGGCGUGACCCAGGUCUCAGCGUGAUGCCGUUGGAAGAACAUACAAGCUCUGUCCAUCUCCAGAUCUCCCCGCACUUGGCAAGAAGGAAUGCCGAUAGCCCCGUGGACCUGGCGAGGAGAUAGGUACCCAUUCAACGUCUAAUCAGCUAGUCCAUCAGCCGAGUCUUAUUGCAGACCAAUUCCUCCAACCAAGCCGCCUCCUGGCUGUGAUACAACUCCCGCGCAAGACAUGUUUGCUCUGCAGUUUUGGAGGGGAAGGGGAAGGGGGCUCUGGCACUGCGCCAGCAGUUGGCGGGUGGAGGCUGGGGGGCAUUU